CUAAUACUCCCUCCGUUCCGAAUUACUUGUCGCAGAUAUGGAUGUAUCUAGAUGUAUUUUAGUUCUAGAUACAUCCAUUUCUGCGACGAGUAAUUUGGAACGGAGGGAGUAGUAC
Molecule: non-coding RNA, 115 nt
Organism: Triticum urartu
Lineage: Eukaryota; Viridiplantae; Streptophyta; Magnoliopsida; Poales; Poaceae
Source: Rfam